This 1092-nucleotide ribosomal RNA is filed under the name Triticum aestivum (bread wheat). Its description in RNAcentral is "partial small subunit ribosomal RNA". The record is from RNAcentral. Lineage: Eukaryota; Viridiplantae; Streptophyta; Magnoliopsida; Poales; Poaceae.
AUGGGCCAGGGCGUCGUCGAGAUCCAGCCCCGCGAGCUCCAGUUCACCUUUGAGCUGAAGAAGCAGAGUUCAUGUUCUGUCCAUCUUGUCAACAAAUCUGAUGAAUAUGUCGCUUUCAAGGUUAAGACAACUUCCCCUAAAAGAUACUGCGUCCGACCAAAUAUUGGAGUUAUCCUUCCAAGGGCAACAUGUGAUUUCACAGUUACCAUGCAAGCACAGCGUACUGCGCCACCAGACAUGCAACUAAAAGACAAAUUUUUGGUGCAGACCACAGUUGUUCCUCCUGGUACAUCAGAUGAUGACCUCAUUCCUGCUUUUUUCUCCAAAGAAACCAAUGCAUAUAUUGAGGAAAGUAAAUUGAGAGUUGUCCUUGUUGAUGCAUCUCGUCCUCCUGUGGAGCAACUGAUAAAUAAUGUCCCCAGCACUGAUGCGGCAGUUGAGGUUCCGGUGUUAAAAGAUACACCAAAUGUUCAGAAUGAAGUGCCAGCUAUGGAGAAAAAGGUUCCUGCCCCCCAGGAGAAAAUUUCAGCUGUUGUUCCUAACAUACCUUCCCCUGUCAGGGAGUCUCCAAUCCUUCAAGAAGUUCCUGUGCUACUGCAUGAAGAACCUGCUAUUUUGGCAGAAUCUCCUCCCCCUCUAAAAGACGAAUCUCCUCCCUCUCUAAAACAUGAAUCUCCUCCCCCUAUAAAGGAUUCGUCUGCAAUUACCAUUGAACAACUUUCUCCUCUGAAGGAAGAGACUGUAACUUCAAAGGUGUCUCCUCUGGAAGAAACUCUUCCGAAAGAAACUGUUGCCGUAAGUGACCGAGGUUUUUUCAGUGUGCAGAAUCAUCAAUUAUCUCAUGUGACGGAAGAUGUUCAGAAUCUGAAGUCAAAACUCAACAACCUUGAAUCAAAAUUGGAAGGGGCUGAAAAGAUGAUAAUAAAACUGAGAGAAGAGAGCAGGACUACAACCCAGGAGCGGGAUAGGCUGCAGCAAGAGAUGGUAGUUUUAAAGAAGGGAACCCCAAAGAGUCAGCUAGGCUUCCCGUUGCUGUUUGUGGUCUAUGUGGCGCUUCUCGGCACAUCCCUCGGCUACCUCUUGCGCCUAUGA